Molecule: long non-coding RNA, 1024 nt
Organism: Anoplopoma fimbria (sablefish)
Lineage: Eukaryota; Metazoa; Chordata; Actinopteri; Perciformes; Anoplopomatidae
Exons: 3
Source: RefSeq, a predicted model, not a curated record
UGUGUAUUUGUUUGUUUUUGGUUUCAAUCCAGGAAGAAGAAAGCUCUGAGCUCCACCACUGAACCACAUGAACCCAUAGAGCCUGUGGAGUUAGACCUUUGUCAUGAUUAUGAGGACAUCUCAGCCAUCGCAGCACAGACAGAAGACGAAGAGGAGCAGGAAGACACGGUGUGAAGAUGCAGUCAAACCAGAGGGAGACUCACCUGGAUGGAAACAGAAAGAAGUACACUGAAGUGGACAUAUUGACCUUUAAUACCAAAAGUUAUAUUCUGAAGUAUUUACAUCUGCUUACUGUCAAUUAAAUAAUGAAUUUCAAAUUCAUUAAUUAAUUACCAUUUACCUUAUUUAUUUUAGCAUGUUUUUAUUGUAUUGUCUCUUAGCUCUUAAAUCACUCUUUUAAUUGUAUUUAAAUGUCCUUUCAUAACGUGUGUCUUUUGCACUUAGUGAAGUUUUAUGUAAAUAACUUUGAAUUGCCUUGUAGCAGAAAUGUGUUAUAUAGAUAAACUCGCUUGACAUGUCAGUUUUCAGAAGCAGCAGCAUGUAGCAGAAGAUUCAUAAUGCAUGCUUUAUUUGUACCUGUGCAGGUACAUUACAUAUGUACAGGAUUUAACUUGAAUGUAAUAAAUUGCUUUUAAGAAAUACUGAUUUCCAUCACAUCACGCCUGUUUGGGUAUAACAAUCCCAAAAAGUGUGUUUAACGAAAAACACAAAAGUUACCAUUAGUUUAUGCCACAUUUGCAUUUUUAAACAAAACCUUUCAGAAAGUUUGGAAUACAAAUAAUAAUUAUCUUAAUGCAAGUUAUCAACGGGGGAAUUUUCAUGCUGAUAUAUAUUCAUUGAUUAAUAAAUAAAACUGAAUUAAUUAUACACAGAGUUGGUGAUUGGAAAGACAAACCAAGAAAGUUUUGUUUCUGAUGAGUUUGACUGAAGCAUGUUUUACAAUGAGCAUCGAGGUAAAGUCACUGUUUCUGUCAAUGGAGUCUGGUAGCUUUGAGGAGAGAAUAUUAGUUGUAUACUUUGUAUC